GAUGAAGAACGUAGCGAAAUGCGAUAAGUAAUGUGAAUUGCAGAAUUCAGUGAAUCAUCGAAUCUUUGAACGCACAUUGCGCCCCCUGGUAUUCCGGGGGGCAUGCCUGUUCGAGCGUCAUUUCACCACUCAAGCCUCGCUUGGUAUUGGGCAACGCGGUCCGCCGCGUGCCUCAAAUCGACCGGCUGGGUCUUCUGUCCCCUAAGCGUUGUGGAAACUAUUCGCUAAAGGGUGUUCGGGAGGCUACGCCGUAAAACAACCCCAUUUCUAAGGUUGAACUCGGAUCAGGUAGGGAUACCCGCUGAACUUAAGCAUAUCAAUAAGCGGAGGA
This 331-nucleotide unclassified non-coding RNA is filed under the name soil metagenome. RNAcentral describes it as "partial contains 5.8S ribosomal RNA, internal transcribed spacer 2, and large subunit ribosomal RNA". The stretch from base 1 to 120 matches the Rfam family "5.8S ribosomal RNA", at positions 35 to 154 of the family's 154-position model. The record is from RNAcentral.